GGGCGUGUAGCUCAGUGGUAGAGCGUUCGGUUCGCAAUCGAAAGGCCUGGGGUUCAAUCCCCCGCUCGUCCA
Molecule: transfer RNA, 72 nt
Filed under: Perkinsela sp. CCAP 1560/4
Lineage: Eukaryota; Euglenozoa; Kinetoplastea; Prokinetoplastida; Perkinselidae
Rfam family: tRNA
About the family: Transfer RNA (tRNA) molecules are approximately 80 nucleotides in length. Their secondary structure includes four short double-helical elements and three loops (D, anti-codon, and T loops).
Source: Rfam by way of RNAcentral